Molecule: transfer RNA, 71 nt
Filed under: Cryptopsaras couesii (triplewart seadevil)
Lineage: Eukaryota; Metazoa; Chordata; Actinopteri; Lophiiformes; Ceratiidae
Description: tRNA-Pro
Rfam family: tRNA
About the family: Transfer RNA (tRNA) molecules are approximately 80 nucleotides in length. Their secondary structure includes four short double-helical elements and three loops (D, anti-codon, and T loops).
Source: RNAcentral
CAGAAAAUAGUUUAAAGUUAGAACGCUAGCUUUGGGAGCUAGUAGUGGGGGUUUAAAUCCCCCUUUUUUGA